UUGGAGGGCAAGUCUGGUGCCAGCAGCCGCGGUAAUUCCAGCUCCAAUAGCGUAUAUUAAAGUUGUUGCAGUUAAAAAGCUCGUAGUUGAAUUUCGGGGUUCUACCGUCGGUCGGGCUACCAAGUCUGUACUGGUGUGUAGAAUUUCUACCUUCUGGGGAACCAUCAUGUUAUUAAUUUAGCGUGGUGGGAAACCAGGACCUUUACCUUGAAAAAAUUAGAGUGUUCAAAGCAGGCUUAUGUCUGAAUACAUUAGCAUGGAAUAAUAGAAUAGGACGGUGGUCCUGUUUUGUUGGUUUCUGAAUCACCGUAAUGAUUAAUAGGGAUAGUUGGGGGCAUUAGUAUUCAAUUGUCAGAGGUGAAAUUCUUGGAUUUAUUGAAGACUAACUUCUGCGAAAGCAUUUGCCAAGGAUGUUUUCAUUAAUCAAGAACGGAAGUUAGGGGAUCGAAGACGAUCAGAUACCGUCGUAGUCUUAACCAUAAACUAUGCCGACUAGGGAUCGGACGAUGUUAAAUUUUAUUGACUCGUUCGGCGCCUUACGGGAAAC
RNAcentral lists this ribosomal RNA (547 nucleotides) under uncultured Glomeromycotina. Its description in RNAcentral is "SSU rRNA". It matches the Rfam family "Eukaryotic small subunit ribosomal RNA", at positions 548 to 1098 of the family's 1831-position model. The record is from RNAcentral. Lineage: Eukaryota; Fungi; Glomeromycota.